CCCUUAGAUGUCCUGGGCCGCACGCGCGCUACACUGAUGCAUUCAACGAGUUUUACCUUGGCCGAGAGGCCUGGGCAAUCUUUUAAACCUGCAUCGUGAUAGGGAUAGAUUAUUGCAAUUAUUAAUCUUGAACGAGGAAUUCCUAGUAAACGCAAAUCAUCAAUUUGCAUUGAUUACGUCCCUGCCCUUUGUACACACCGCCCGUCGCUCCUACCGAUUGAGUGGUCCGGUGAGGCUUUGGGAUCUGAGCGGAAAGAGCGUUUCGCUGUUUCUGCUCGGAAAACUCAGUCGAACCUUAUCAUUUAGAGGAAGGAGAAGUCGUAACA
This 326-nucleotide ribosomal RNA is filed under the name uncultured eukaryote. Its description in RNAcentral is "partial 18S ribosomal RNA". It matches the Rfam family "Eukaryotic small subunit ribosomal RNA", at positions 1470 to 1796 of the family's 1831-position model. The record is from RNAcentral.